AGCCUACUUGUUAGGUGACUGCGUACCUUUUGUAUAAUGGGUCAGCGACUUAUAUUCAGUGGCAAGCUUAACCGUAUAGGGUAGGCGUAGCGAAAGCGAGUCUUAAUAGGGCGUUUAGUCGCUGGGUAUAGACCCGAAACCGGGCGAUCUAUCCAUGAGCAGGUUGAAGGUUAGGUAACACUGACUGGAGGACCGAACCCACUCCCGUUGAAAAGGUAGGGGAUGACUUGUGGAUCGGAGUGAAAGGCUAAUCAAGCUCGGAGAUAGCUGGUUCUCCUCGAAAGCUAUUUAGGUAGCGCCUCAUGUAUCACUCUGGGGGGUAGAGCACUGUUUCGGCUAGGGGGUCAUCCCGACUUACCAAACCGAUGCAAACUCCGAAUACCCAGAAGUGCCGAGCAUGGGAGACACACGGCGGGUGCUAACGUCCGUCGUGAAAAGGGAAACAACCCAGACCGCCAGCUAAGGUCCCAAAGUUGUGGUUAAGUGGUAAACGAUGUGGGAAGGCUUAGACAGCUAGGAGGUUGGCUUAGAAGCAGCCAUCCUUUAAAGAAAGCGUAAUAGCUCACUAGUCGAGUCGGCCUGCGCGGAAGAUGUAACGGGGCUCAAACCACACACCGAAGCUGCGGGUGUCACGUAAGUGACGCGGUAGAGGAGCGUUCUGUAAGCCUGUGAAGGUGAGUUGAGAAGCUUGCUGGAGGUAUCAGAAGUGCGAAUGCUGACAUGAGUAACGACAAUGGGUGUGAAAAACACCCACGCCGAAAGACCAAGGGUUCCUGCGCAACGUUAAUCGACGCAGGGUUAGUCGGUUCCUAAGGCGAGGCUGAAAAGCGUAGUCGAUGGGAAACAGGUUAAUAUUCCUGUACUUCUGGUUACUGCGAUGGAGGGACGGAGAAGGCUAGGCCAGCUUGGCGUUGGUUGUCCAAGUUUAAGGUGGUAGGCUGAAAUCUUAGGUAAAUCCGGGGUUUCAAGGCCGAGAGCUGAUGACGAGUCGUCUUUUAGAUGACGAAGUGGUUGAUGCCAUGCUUCCAAGAAAAGCUUCUAAGCUUCAGGUAACCAGGAACCGUACCCCAAACCGACACAGGUGGUCGGGUAGAGAAUACCAAGGCGCUUGAGAGAACUCGGGUGAAGGAACUAGGCAAAAUGGCACCGUAACUUCGGGAGAAGGUGCGCCGGCUAGGGUGAAGGAUUUACUCCGUAAGCUCUGGCUGGUCGAAGAUACCAGGCCGCUGCGACUGUUUAUUAAAAACACAGCACUCUGCAAACACGAAAGUGGACGUAUAGGGUGUGACGCCUGCCCGGUGCCGGAAGGUUAAUUGAUGGGGUUAGCGCAAGCGAAGCUCUUGAUCGAAGCCCCGGUAAACGGCGGCCGUAACUAUAACGGUCCUAAGGUAGCGAAAUUCCUUGUCGGGUAAGUUCCGACCUGCACGAAUGGCGUAACGAUGGCGGCGCUGUCUCCACCCGAGACUCAGUGAAAUUGAAAUCGCUGUGAAGAUGCAGUGUAUCCGCGGCUAGACGGAAAGACCCCGUGAACCUUUACUGUAGCUUUGCACUGGACUUUGAGCCUGCUUGUGUAGGAUAGGUGGGAGGCUUUGAAGCGUGGACGCCAGUUCGCGUGGAGCCAUCCUUGAAAUACCACCCUGGCAUGCUUGAGGUUCUAACUCUGGUCCGUGAUCCGGAUCGAGGACAGUGUAUGGUGGGCAGUUUGACUGGGGCGGUCUCCUCCUAAAGAGUAACGGAGGAGUACGAAGGUGCGCUCAGACCGGUCGGAAAUCGGUCGCAGAGUAUAAAGGCAAAAGCGCGCUUGACUGCGAGACAGACACGUCGAGCAGGUACGAAAGUAGGUCUUAGUGAUCCGGUGGUUCUGUAUGGAAGGGCCAUCGCUCAACGGAUAAAAGGUACUCCGGGGAUAACAGGCUGAUACCGCCCAAGAGUUCAUAUCGACGGCGGUGUUUGGCACCUCGAUGUCGGCUCAUCACAUCCUGGGGCUGAAGCCGGUCCCAAGGGUAUGGCUGUUCGCCAUUUAAAGUGGUACGCGAGCUGGGUUUAGAACGUCGUGAGACAGUUCGGUCCCUAUCUGCCGUGGACGUUUGAGAUUUGAGAGGGGCUGCUCCUAGUACGAGAGGACCGGAGUGGACGAACCUCUGGUGUUCCGGUUGUCACGCCAGUGGCAUUGCCGGGUAGCUAUGUUCGGAAAAGAUAACCGCUGAAAGCAUCUAAGCGGGAAACUUGCCUCAAGAUGAGAUCUCACUGGGAACUUGAUUCCCCUGAAGGGCCGUCGAAGACUACGACGUUGAUAGGCUGGGUGUGUAAGCGUUGUGAGGCGUUGAGCUAACCAGUACUAAUUGCCCGUGAGGCUUGACCAU
Molecule: ribosomal RNA, 2363 nt
Filed under: Pseudomonas aeruginosa
Lineage: Bacteria; Pseudomonadati; Pseudomonadota; Gammaproteobacteria; Pseudomonadales; Pseudomonadaceae
Description: bacterial LSU rRNA
Rfam family: Bacterial large subunit ribosomal RNA
Source: RNAcentral